Oryza meridionalis is the source of this 198-nucleotide non-coding RNA. The record is from Rfam. NCBI's taxonomy places the organism in Eukaryota, Viridiplantae, Streptophyta, Magnoliopsida, Poales, Poaceae.
AAUAAGCGCAGCCAUGGGUUUUUUUUUUUACAAUUUUAACCGUCAGUCUUAUUUGAAAUUUUUUUAUGAUGGCUGUUAUUAGAAUAUAAAACAUGAAUAAUACUUUAUAUGUGACUUAUGUUUUUUAGUUUUUUCAAAAACAAUUGAAAUAAGACGAACGAUUAAAGUUGGACAAGAAAACUCAUGGUUGUGCUUAUU